RNAcentral lists this ribosomal RNA (2442 nucleotides) under Staphylococcus aureus. RNAcentral's name for it is "bacterial LSU rRNA". It matches the Rfam family "Bacterial large subunit ribosomal RNA", at positions 3 to 2443 of the family's 2925-position model. Lineage: Bacteria; Bacillati; Bacillota; Bacilli; Caryophanales; Staphylococcaceae. The record is from RNAcentral.
UUAAGUUAUUAAGGGCGCACGGUGGAUGCCUUGGCACUAGAAGCCGAUGAAGGACGUUACUAACGACGAUAUGCUUUGGGGAGCUGUAAGUAAGCUUUGAUCCAGAGAUUUCCGAAUGGGGAAACCCAGCAUGAGUUAUGUCAUGUUAUCGAUAUGUGAAUACAUAGCAUAUCAGAAGGCACACCCGGAGAACUGAAACAUCUUAGUACCCGGAGGAAGAGAAAGAAAAUUCGAUUCCCUUAGUAGCGGCGAGCGAAACGGGAAGAGCCCAAACCAACAAGCUUGCUUGUUGGGGUUGUAGGACACUCUAUACGGAGUUACAAAGGACGACAUUAGACGAAUCAUCUGGAAAGAUGAAUCAAAGAAGGUAAUAAUCCUGUAGUCGAAAAUGUUGUCUCUCUUGAGUGGAUCCUGAGUACGACGGAGCACGUGAAAUUCCGUCGGAAUCUGGGAGGACCAUCUCCUAAGGCUAAAUACUCUCUAGUGACCGAUAGUGAACCAGUACCGUGAGGGAAAGGUGAAAAGCACCCCGGAAGGGGAGUGAAAUAGAACCUGAAACCGUGUGCUUACAAGUAGUCAGAGCCCGUUAAUGGGUGAUGGCGUGCCUUUUGUAGAAUGAACCGGCGAGUUACGAUUUGAUGCAAGGUUAAGCAGUAAAUGUGGAGCCGUAGCGAAAGCGAGUCUGAAUAGGGCGUUUAGUAUUUGGUCGUAGACCCGAAACCAGGUGAUCUACCCUUGGUCAGGUUGAAGUUCAGGUAACACUGAAUGGAGGACCGAACCGACUUACGUUGAAAAGUGAGCGGAUGAACUGAGGGUAGCGGAGAAAUUCCAAUCGAACCUGGAGAUAGCUGGUUCUCUCCGAAAUAGCUUUAGGGCUAGCCUCAAGUGAUGAUUAUUGGAGGUAGAGCACUGUUUGGACGAGGGGCCCCUCUCGGGUUACCGAAUUCAGACAAACUCCGAAUGCCAAUUAAUUUAACUUGGGAGUCAGAACAUGGGUGAUAAGGUCCGUGUUCGAAAGGGAAACAGCCCAGACCACCAGCUAAGGUCCCAAAAUAUAUGUUAAGUGGAAAAGGAUGUGGCGUUGCCCAGACAACUAGGAUGUUGGCUUAGAAGCAGCCAUCAUUUAAAGAGUGCGUAAUAGCUCACUAGUCGAGUGACACUGCGCCGAAAAUGUACCGGGGCUAAACAUAUUACCGAAGCUGUGGAUUGUCCUUUGGACAAUGGUAGGAGAGCGUUCUAAGGGCGUUGAAGCAUGAUCGUAAGGACAUGUGGAGCGCUUAGAAGUGAGAAUGCCGGUGUGAGUAGCGAAAGACGGGUGAGAAUCCCGUCCACCGAUUGACUAAGGUUUCCAGAGGAAGGCUCGUCCGCUCUGGGUUAGUCGGGUCCUAAGCUGAGGCCGACAGGCGUAGGCGAUGGAUAACAGGUUGAUAUUCCUGUACCACCUAUAAUCGUUUUAAUCGAUGGGGGGACGCAGUAGGAUAGGCGAAGCGUGCGAUUGGAUUGCACGUCUAAGCAGUAAGGCUGAGUAUUAGGCAAAUCCGGUACUCGUUAAGGCUGAGCUGUGAUGGGGAGAAGACAUUGAGUCUUCGAGUCGUUGAUUUCACACUGCCGAGAAAAGCCUCUAGAUAGAAAAUAGGUGCCCGUACCGCAAACCGACACAGGUAGUCAAGAUGAGAAUUCUAAGGUGAGCGAGCGAACUCUCGUUAAGGAACUCGGCAAAAUGACCCCGUAACUUCGGGAGAAGGGGUGCUCUUUAGGGUUAACGCCCAGAAGAGCCGCAGUGAAUAGGCCCAAGCGACUGUUUAUCAAAAACACAGGUCUCUGCUAAACCGUAAGGUGAUGUAUAGGGGCUGACGCCUGCCCGGUGCUGGAAGGUUAAGAGGAGUGGUUAGCUUCUGCGAAGCUACGAAUCGAAGCCCCAGUAAACGGCGGCCGUAACUAUAACGGUCCUAAGGUAGCGAAAUUCCUUGUCGGGUAAGUUCCGACCCGCACGAAAGGCGUAACGAUUUGGGCACUGUCUCAACGAGAGACUCGGUGAAAUCAUAGUACCUGUGAAGAUGCAGGUUACCCGCGACAGGACGGAAAGACCCCGUGGAGCUUUACUGUAGCCUGAUAUUGAAAUUCGGCACAGCUUGUACAGGAUAGGUAGGAGCCUUUGAAACGUGAGCGCUAGCUUACGUGGAGGCGCUGGUGGGAUACUACCCUAGCUGUGUUGGCUUUCUAACCCGCACCACUUAUCGUGGUGGGAGACAGUGUCAGGCGGGCAGUUUGACUGGGGCGGUCGCCUCCUAAAAGGUAACGGAGGCGCUCAAAGGUUCCCUCAGAAUGGUUGGAAAUCAUUCAUAGAGUGUAAAGGCAUAAGGGAGCUUGACUGCGAGACCUACAAGUCGAGCAGGGUCGAAAGACGGACUUAGUGAUCCGGUGGUUCCGCAUGGAAGGGCC